UUAUAUCCUCAUUGGGUUGAGUCUUGUUUGACCUUUUCUUUCUAGUUCUUACCUAGAUAGAUUUUUUGGUCCUCCAAGAGUUUAUUACCCAGUAACUGGUAAUAUCCUUCUUGAUGUUGAGUACUUUACCUAUGUUAAUCUACCUAGUAACCGGUAGAAGGUAAUUUACUUCUUUGACUUCCCCAGCGAAUUUACUUUCACUUUCCCAACGGGUUAUCUUUUAUUUUUGCCA
This 232-nucleotide long non-coding RNA is filed under the name Lathyrus oleraceus (garden pea). RNAcentral describes it as "Pisum sativum (pea) long non-coding RNA (PSAT_LNC016877)". The record is from RNAcentral. Lineage: Eukaryota; Viridiplantae; Streptophyta; Magnoliopsida; Fabales; Fabaceae.